This 3638-nucleotide long non-coding RNA is filed under the name Podarcis lilfordi (Lilford's wall lizard). The record is from RNAcentral. Lineage: Eukaryota; Metazoa; Chordata; Lepidosauria; Squamata; Lacertidae.
UUUCUUCUUGCUGUUGUUGAGUGCAGACAUGAUUCUCUGUACUGAUGUAAGAGGCAGAAAUAAAUGAUGUAAAUAGUUUUCUGUCUGCUUCUUCCCCUCCCUGGGGACACCAAAGGGGAGAGAGGAAGAACGGUGUGUUCCUCUCAUACAUCUGAGAAGAAUCGCUGGACCUCGCCUGCUUAUCAGCAGAGUGGAGACGCGGGGAGGUCGACAGGAAUAUCUGCCGGUGCCUACGCUGUGGCACAUUCCUCUGACCCAGGCAGAAUUCCAACAGUGGUAGCAGAGGAUGGUUGCGAUUCAUCGGACAUCUGCAUGAGAGGCUGGUGGAUUGUCCUCCUCUGCUCCAAGGAGGAAGAGAAAGCGUCUGAAAGAAGCCAGAGGCUCCACAGACAGCUGGUGGAAAGAAGAGGUGUUUUCCCAGAGCAACGGAGCUCAAGGUAUGCUGCAUUUCGGGCUAAAAGUGUGAACGCAGGAAGAUUAAUUCCUGGUUCACGGAGCUGCGUUUCAAAGAAAACAAGAGCUCCGGGAGAAGAGGCCUGCAGCUUGAAGGCUGAAGCCUGCAUUCCACAAAUUUUUGUGGUAGAUAAGAUGUCUUAUUGAAAUGCAUUGUUGCUAGGUAACGGUCCUGGAAAGUUACUGGCAAAGGGGCUGGACUCUGAGUGUAAGCCUGGGAAAGCGAAACAAAACCAGAGAAUGUUUUGGCUACAAGGUUUACGAGCUCUUGGAAGGGACUUUUCAAUAGCAGCCUGAGUUUAGCUGCCAGGUGCAAAGAGCGUAAACAAUUUGCAGUUUGCUGCGUGAGAAAGGAAAAAAAAACAACUGUUGGAUUUUACAGUUUGUUUGACAUUGUGAGCUGGAGGCUUGGCUUCAAGAUGGAUGCCAAGAAAGGAGCUUUGCCUUGCCCUCCUCCCUUAACCAAUGACAAUUAUUCAUCUUGGUCUGUAAAGAUGAAGGCCCUGCUGCAGAAUCAGAGGCUUUUUGAUGUAAUUGAAAACCCCAUCCCUGCAGCACCAACCAGAGGUUGGGAGUCACAGAAUGUAAGGGCCAGGACUGCUAUAAUUCUGUGUGUCUCAGAUGAUCAGUUGGUGCAUGUUCAGCAUUUAGAAAAUGCGAAAGAGGUAUGGGACACGCUGCGUACAACGCAUCAGAGAGAUGCUGGUUCUUCAGCGUUGCUGUAUUUUGAGAAAUUGACCAAUCUGAGACUUGCGCCUGAUGGAGAUGUUCAAGCGCACCUGACAGAAAUGAAGUUUCUGCGUCAACAGAUGGUGGAACGCAAUUUUCGUCUUCAGGAGGAAGUGUUUUGCUUCAUGAUGAUAAACAGCCUUAGCCGCACCUACAAGGUUGUUGCCAGUCAGCUUGGUUCCCUACCGGCCGCGCAGCUGACCGCGGAGAGAGUUUGUGCUGUGGUCCUGAAUGAACACGACAGACUUGCUGCACUGGAAGAAAAAGACAGGGGGAGGGAAGAACAGAGUUCUAAUUCCCCACUGCUGAUGCUACUGGAGAGCAUGGUGUAGCAUUGAGUGCUGUCCGAUGCUACAAUUGUGGACAGACUGGGCAUCUACAGCGAAACUGUAAGAAGCCGCGCCAGUCAAGAGGAGCAAAGAGCAGCUCUACGAAGCCUCAGGCGUCAGGCAAGCCGUUCCAAGUGCCAGGUGAAACCUGCAAAGGCUAUGAUGGCGAAAGGAACCACGCCAGAUGUUGGGAACUCGUUCAUAAUUGACACGGGCGCAACGGUUCAUAUGUGCCCGCACAGAGGACUGUUUUCGACGUUGAAGAAGCAAAGCUUCACUGUGAAACAGGCCAACGGUCAGGAGUUGGAAGCAACUGGAAUUGGGACUGUGUAUCUUGAGAGUCUGAACUUGACUAUAAGUGAUGUUUACCUGGUUCCAGAACUGAGAUUUAAUCUGCUGAGCGUGUCGCAGAUUGCAAAGAAAGGACUGAAACUGUCCUAUGAUGCUAAAAGCUGCAAGAUCUACAAAGAUGGAGAACUGUUUCUUACUGCCAAAGAGAAAGAUGGACUGUAUUUGUUGACUUUUGAUCAAAGUGAUUACAUGAAAUGUAAUUCUGCUGUUUCUAACGAAAUCUCUCUUGCAGGAGUGACCAGUGUGAGCACCAGGAAGGUGACUAAGACGAAGAAGGUCGACAGAGCAUUUCAGCGGGUGUAUGCUGAUGUGAUUGGUCCUCUAGAACCAUCUAGAGGCGGUGCACGAUAUUACCUUGUGUGUGUGGAUUGUUUCACUAAUUAUUCUUGGGUUUAUAUGAUGGAGAAACCGCAAGAAACUUUAGAAAAGUUUCAGGAGUUUUGUGACAAGGUUAAAAGUAUGCAUGAUGCUAACAUUGAUUGUCUUUUCACAGAUGAGAAGCAAAUUUUUCUGUUGCAGAAGUUUCAGAAGUUCCUGGAUGGAAAGGGAUAGACCACAAAGUGGCAGUUUCGCAAGAAGCGUGGAACAGGGGGGUCUGUGUAAGAGUGAACAAAGAAUUGCAAAAGGGGAUGAAUGCGCAAUUGCUGAGUUCACAUUUGCCACAUGAAUAUUGGGCUGAGUCGCUAGCGUCCUAUCUUCAUGUGUGGUUGAGAAAGGUCUCAACAGAGUUGGGAUGUUCUCCUUUUGAGAAGCUGUUCAAUAGAAAACCUUCUGUUGCCUAUUUUAAGGUUUUCGGGUCUCAUGUGAGAACAGAAGCUCCAGGUGGAGUAAAGAAUGCCAGAGGCAUUUUUGUGGGUUAUGAAAAAGGUCUCUACAGAGUAAUUUUGUCUGAAUCUGGUCAGGUGAUUCUCACAAAGUUCCUAGAGAGUGCUCCAAAGCAAGAGCGGAUAGUACAAACAUUUCCCACAGGAAACGAUUCUGAUGAUGAUGAUGAUGAGUUUGAUCUUAUUGAGUUCAGUAGUACUGAUGAUGACAGUGAGAGCUCAGAGAGUUCAGUUGUAACAGUCAUUGAGAGGAAAUCUCACACAAUGGAUAGACCUUCACAGGUGAAGGAAGAACCACUGAUUGCUACUGGUUCUCAACAGAGUCCAAAGGUUGAACCAGUGAGCACAGAGGAUCAGAACCUCAUACGUAGGUCUGAGAGAGCAACGAAGGGUGUACCACCCAAGAGGUAUUCAAAGGAGUUUGCUAACCUUGCAUAUGUUGCUAUUGUUAACAACCCAAGGACAGCUUGAAGCUGUGUCUGAGUCAGAGACAAAGGCACAACAGAGAGGUGUUAACCAAGGUAAUGCGAAGUCACACAACCAGAGAGGUACAUUGGUUAAACCAGUGGCGGGUAGUUCCAAGGGUGGAACUGAAACAACAGGGGAAUGUUAUAAAUAUAACAACUGUUUGUUUUCUUCUCUGGAUGACGCUUUGCUCGCAGCACACAUUGAUACUUUAGGGGGAGUAUGUUACCAUAAAGCACCAAUGCUGCAGCAAGCAAAGGCUCUAGCAGCUCAGCCAGCUGCUUGUGGCUGGAAAGCCAGGCAGGAUGUUUGUGACUGUUGCCAUGGGAACAAAGGGGCAGUCCAUUCUGUACUGAGCACCGGAUGUUAGCUCAGUGUGUGUGUGUCAUAUGACCCGUACUGGAUGUACUUGGGAGGAGUUUCUUCUUGCUGUUGUUGAGUGCAGACAUGAUUCUCUGUACUGAUGUAAGAGGCAGAAAUAAAUGAU